RNAcentral lists this ribosomal RNA (236 nucleotides) under uncultured bacterium. Its description in RNAcentral is "partial 16S ribosomal RNA". It matches the Rfam family "Bacterial small subunit ribosomal RNA", at positions 541 to 776 of the family's 1533-position model. The record is from RNAcentral.
UUGUUCGGAAUUACUGGGCGUAAAGCGCACGUAGGCGGAUUUGUAAGUCAGUGGUGAAAUCCCGGGGCUCAACCUCGGAACUGCCUUUGAUACUGCAAAUCUCGAGUCCGGAAGAGGUGAGUGGAAUUCCUAGUGUAGAGGUGAAAUUCGUAGAUAUUAGGAAGAACACCAGUGGCGAAGGCGGCUCACUGGGCCGGUACUGACGCUGAGGUGCGAAAGCGUGGGGAGCAAACAGG